UACGGGGGGAGCAAGCGUUGUUCGGAUUUACUGGGCGUAAAGGGCGCGUAGGCGGUCAGCACAAGUCAGUUGUGAAAUCUCCGGGCUUAACUCGGAAAGGUCAACUGAUACUGUGCGACUAGAGUGCAGAAGGGGCAACUGGAAUUCUCGGUGUAGCGGUGAAAUGCGUAGAUAUCGAGAGGAACACCUGCGGCGAAGGCGGGCUACUGGGCCGAUACUGACGCUGAUGCGCGAAAGCCAGGGGAGCGAACGGG
This 254-nucleotide ribosomal RNA is filed under the name uncultured bacterium. RNAcentral's name for it is "partial 16S ribosomal RNA". It matches the Rfam family "Bacterial small subunit ribosomal RNA", at positions 524 to 776 of the family's 1533-position model. The record is from RNAcentral.